Molecule: long non-coding RNA, 1170 nt
Filed under: Cyanistes caeruleus (blue tit)
Lineage: Eukaryota; Metazoa; Chordata; Aves; Passeriformes; Paridae
Description: lncRNA (ENSCCEG00000003613.1)
Source: RNAcentral
UCGCGGAGGUUUUGUUUCCCAGAGGAGCAGCCGGCGCCAGCCCCGCGGGCGGGGAGGGCUCAGCCCCCGGCGAGGGAGAGCCCAAAGGAGCGCUCGGGUGCCCCGGGCACACCGGGAAUGAGGGAACAGCGCCGGGAGAGCGGCCGGCAGCUCCCGGAGCUGCUCCAGGCCUGGAGCCCCUCGGUUCCCGGGGAUCCAGCCCGGGAGAGCCGGGAAUGCUCCCCUGGAGAAGGGAAAGCUCCUCUGCGUUCACUCGGCUGCCACAGCACGGCUGCAGGUGCAGGAACGAACCAUUCCCGUUCCCACACUGCCAGAAACUCGGGGAAAUCACGGCAUUCAGCAAUCCGGUGCUAAUUUAAAACCCAAGGAUGUUUCAAUAUCCAGCAAAAACCCCGCAGGCAAUCCCGUCCCCAGGAGCCACCAGAGCCCCCUCAAACAGGAAUUCCGUGUUUAUUCCAGGGAUAUCCGGCUGAAGGGAGAGGGAAGAGGGAGGGAUGAGGAGGGAGAGGGGCCGGAGGUGACGGUGACACGGAGCUGGGCGCUCCUGGAGAUGCUCCCCUGCAGCAGCUUCAGCUUCCUCUGCCAGGAACAGAUGGAGGCACUGCCAUGGAUCCGUGUCCUGCCAGCUGGAUCCCAUCUUAUCCUCCUUUUCCAGCUGGAUCCCACCUUAUCCCACCUUUUCCAGCUGGAUCCCAUCUCAUCCCUCCUUUUCCAGCUGGAUCCCACCUUAUCCCUCCUUUCCCAGCUGGAUCCCAUCUUAUCUCUCAUUUUCCAGCUUGAUCCCACCUUGUCCUUCCUCUCCCAGUUUGGAUCCCACCUCAAUCCUCCUCUCCCAGCUGGAUCCCAUCUCGUCCCUCCUCUCCCAGUUUGGAUCCCACACCGAUUCCCUGAUCCCAGCUGGAUCCCACACCGAUUCCCUGAUCCCAGCUGGAUCCCACACCGAUUCCCUGAUCCCACACCGAUUCCCUGAUCCCAGUUUGGAUCCCACAACAAUUCCCUGAUCCCACCUGGAUCCCACACCGAUUCCCUGCUCCCAGCUGGAUCCCACACCGAUUCCCUGAUCCCAGCUGGAUCCCACACUGAUUCCCUGAUCCCAGCUGGAUCCCACACCAAUUCCCUGAUCCCACACCGAUUCCCUGAUCCCAGCUGGAUCCCACACCGAUUCCCUGA